GACGAACGCUGGCGGCGUGCCUAAUACAUGCAAGUCGAACGAGAGCGCCCGGUGCUUGCCCUGGUCAAUCUAGUGGCGGACGGGUGAGUAACACGUGGGUAACCUGCCCAUCAGAGGGGGAUAACAUCCGGAAACGGAUGCUAAAACCGCAUAGGUCUUCGAACCGCAUGGUUUGAAGAGGAAAAGAGGCGCACGCUUCUGCUGAUGGAUGGACCCGCGGUGCAUUAGCUAGUUGGUGAGGUAACGGCUCACCAAGGCCGUGAUGCAUAGCCGACCUGAGAGGGUGAUCGGCCACAUUGGGACUGAGACACGGCCCAAACUCCUACGGGAGGCAGCAGUAGGGAAUCUUCCGCAAUGGACGCAAGUCUGACGGAGCAACGCCGCGUGAGUGAAGAAGGUUUUCGGAUCGUAAAACUCUGUUGUUAGAGAAGAACAAGUGCUAGAGUAACUGUUAGCGCCUUGACGGUAGCUAACCAGAAAGCCACGGCUAACUACGUG
RNAcentral lists this ribosomal RNA (498 nucleotides) under uncultured bacterium. Its description in RNAcentral is "partial 16S ribosomal RNA". It matches the Rfam family "Bacterial small subunit ribosomal RNA", at positions 28 to 507 of the family's 1533-position model. The record is from RNAcentral.